RNAcentral lists this unclassified non-coding RNA (413 nucleotides) under Hevea brasiliensis (rubber tree). Lineage: Eukaryota; Viridiplantae; Streptophyta; Magnoliopsida; Malpighiales; Euphorbiaceae. The record is from RNAcentral.
UGAAAUGCAAUGUGUACUGUAUAAAAAUUUAAAAUUUAUCAUUAUCAAAAUCAUUCACUCCAACAAUACUUUAUUUUUACAUAAUCUCCUCUCUUGGUAGUACAAAAGACAAUUCACUCAAUCAAAUUAAUGUGAAAUUCGGACAUUUAAUAGGAAAUGUAGGCAGUGCAAAAGGUUAUUUGUAUAGAAGGACAUCAUUGAAAAGGUUCUUGUGAUGGCAACUCAUGACAAACCUAAUGAAACCAAAACCAAUAUCCAAAUGCUUGUAAUGGCAAAGUUGAAGUCUGAAGGAAUGCUAAAUCAACUUCCAAUUGAUUUUUUUUGGGUGUCCACCACAUCCCCAUCCCCAACACCCUCCCUGCUGAUUUCCACCUCCACCGCUGCCUCCUCCCCAACCCCAACCUCCACCUUGA